RNAcentral lists this unclassified non-coding RNA (231 nucleotides) under plant metagenome. RNAcentral describes it as "partial contains small subunit ribosomal RNA, internal transcribed spacer 1, and 5.8S ribosomal RNA". The stretch from base 183 to 231 matches the Rfam family "5.8S ribosomal RNA", at positions 1 to 49 of the family's 154-position model. The record is from RNAcentral.
UUUCCGUAGGUGAACCUGCGGAAGGAUCAUUCAUAAUAAAGUGUUUUAUGGCACUUUUUAAAAAUCCAUAUCCACCUUGUGUGCAAUGUUAGAUCUCGUCAAUCUUGGCGAGAUUUUUAUACAUCAACUCAUUCUUUAACUAAUUUGUCUGAAAAAUAUUAUGAAUACUUAAUUCAAAAUACAACUUUCAACAACGGAUCUCUUGGCUCUCGUAUCGAUGAAGAACGCAGC